Molecule: signal recognition particle RNA, 297 nt
Filed under: Pan troglodytes (chimpanzee)
Lineage: Eukaryota; Metazoa; Chordata; Mammalia; Primates; Hominidae
Description: Metazoan signal recognition particle RNA
Rfam family: Metazoan signal recognition particle RNA
About the family: The signal recognition particle (SRP) is a universally conserved ribonucleoprotein. It is involved in the co-translational targeting of proteins to membranes.
Source: Rfam by way of RNAcentral
GCCGGGUGUGGUGGCACACACCUAUAAUCCCAGCUACUCGGGAGGCUGAGACAGGAGAAUUGCUUGAACCCGGGAGGCGGAGGUUGCAGUGAGCCGAGAUCGCACCACUGCCCUCCAGCCUGGGUGACAGAGAAGAGACUCCGUCUCAAAAAAAAGAAAAAAAAAAAAAUAGAUAAAAUUAAGUUGGGUUUUCUUUUUUGAGAUGGAGUCUCACUCUGUCGCCCAGGCUGGAAUGCAGUGGUGUGAUCUUGGCUCACUGCAACCUCCGCCUCCCAGGUUCAAGCAAUUCUGUGUCAG